Molecule: long non-coding RNA, 2711 nt
Organism: Cyprinus carpio carpio
Lineage: Eukaryota; Metazoa; Chordata; Actinopteri; Cypriniformes; Cyprinidae
Source: Ensembl
UUAUAGGUUUAAAUGAACCAGUUAAAAAAAAAACAACGAUUCAAAGGUUGCGCUGCAUGACAGAAUAGAUCAUGACGUCAUUGAGGAUCUUGAUCUUAUAGAGUGGUGGAACUGUCACACCCAGGGGCUGGCUAUGCUUUGACUAAGCCACACCCCUUCUCAACUUCCACCUCGAGGAGGUCCCCAAAGCCAACCCAAUGGCCAAACAACACGAGAACAAGUAAGUGAUAAAACAAUCUUUAUUUAAAUAUUUAAAAAUAGCUUGGGGAAUAGGGAAAGGGCAAUUAAAACUAAACUCUGACUCGGCCCUCCAGAUGGGCUAUGGCCGGGAAGAGGUCAGGGAGCAAGGGGGCCACGGGGAUCCGGGGCGUGGGACUCGGGCCCCGGCCUGAGUCUUAGGUAUCCGUAGCGCCCUCCUUCUUCCUCCUCUUCGCUGAAUACAGCUCACGGUAAGUACUGGUUCACACAGUUCGUUCUCGGGGUGCUCACUCUCUUUCUCUUCCUCCACAGGCAACGGCUGGGACACACAGGCACAGUUAGUUCAGCUUGGUUUUGCUCUCACCUCUUCGCUGAUUGCAGCUCACAGUAAGUACUGGUUCACACAGUUCGUUCCUUGGGUGCUCACUCGCUUUCUCUUUCUCCACAGGCAGCGGCGUAAGUACAGGUUUCCUCGGUCUCUCCUCGUGUUACCCACUCUCUCUCCUUUUCUCUCCACAGGUAUCAACUUGGGCACAAUAGCACAGUUAGUUUGCUUUGAAUGGCUCUCACCUCUGGGCUGGACACAGCGUACUGUAAGUACAGGGUUCCUCUGUUUCUCCUUGUGUUACUCACUCUCUCUUUCCUUUCCUCUCCACAGGUAUCAACUUGGACGCAAAGCACAGUUACUCUGCUUUGGAUGGCUUUCACCUCUGGGCUGGACACAGCGUACUGUAAGUACAGGUUUCCUCUGUUUCUCCUUGUGUUACUCACUCUCUCUUUCCUUUCCUCUCCACAGGUAUCAACUUGGACGCAAAGCACAGUUACUCUGCUUUGGAUGGCUUUCACCUCUGGGCUGGACACAGCGUACUGUGCUAUCUCCGGAGAUCUGGAGCACGCUCACAACAUAUACUGUACUGAACUAGGCUAGGACCAGCAGUCUCCUUGUCCUCCCGCGACGAAGUGCGUGAAGGCGGGGGUUUAUCUGACAGGACACACGGCAAUACACAGCAGCCCACAGCAAUAUACAGCACCACGUCAAAAUUAUAGGUUUUCACAGCAUGAAGACUCACCCACCACACUCAGUGUACGAAAAGGACACCCGUCUUCCUUCACUUCGCUUGGUUCGGAUCUGGCGAUGGAAUAUGCGGCCUAGCUAGUGAUGUCGUCGUUGUGACUACUUCAAUAAGUAUUCCUUCGGCUCUCCCACCACACUAUAUUAGGGGUAGGGCCGCCCUCCUCCUCCUGGAGAGAUCUACACAACGCCAGGUCAAUAUACAGGGCACUUUCGACUGGCUCUUAGUACUCACAUCAAUGCCGCUUCCAAUCCCCUUUUUCACGUCGUCUCAGUUCGCCGUAUAAUCCGUUCACUUCUCAACCUUUAAGGUUCGCGAUGUCUUCACAAUCAUACAAUUCCAGCCUGAGGGAGAGAGAGUUAGACAGCCGCCAGCAGCGCACCAAGACGGGCACAACACAGUGCUUCACACACACCAGAAAGAGCGCCCAGACUGUGAAAUAACUUGGCCUUAAGUACUGCCUUGUCCAGCGUAUCCUCCAAUCACCAACCGCUGUCCCUAACUAGGCACAGGUGCAUCGAAUUCCCUGAUUUUCCUUCUUACGGCGCUACCGGAAAUUCCGGUGUUCUGUUUUUCCGGUCCGGGCGGAAACACUUCCGGGCGGAACCAAACUUCCCGAAUUUUGGUUCCGCCCCUAAAGAUCGUCACCUUGUGACAGAACUAUGAUGUCACUUUGUAGGCAAAAACCCAGAAGCAAGUUAGCAUUUUAGCACUUCCGGUUCCAUCGUCCCAGACUCAAUGGGUUUUUUUGAAUGGGAUUUUGGUUAAAUCCCUAAAAUAAGGUCCGUGGUUCACACAGGCUCAAGAUACUUACACCAGUUACACCCCACGUGUGAUUAUUUUUUAAAACUGUUAUGUUUCUUAAAAAAGACGGUUGAAGUUGCUAUGAGACUACAGGUGAAACAGUUGAUCAAUUUACAGUAUUUUCCAGUUAUAGUAUAAUUUGUACUACAGUUAAUUGUAGAAUAACCAAUUAAUAGUUUCCCGCAUUUUAUAUUGUUGGUUAAAGAUAUUUUUUGUUUUGCCCUGAAAUGCAACACAAGUCUUCAGAUGGAAGAUGCUCAUUUAUUGCUUUCCUACUGAUGCGGAGACUCUGGGUUCGUAAGGUAAACAUUACGAUUAUUUCAUGUAAACACCACAUUUACCGGCUCAGUCACAGUGAAAGUGAAACUUUAACGAUGCAUAGUGCUUAAAUCCAGGUUAAAUUUAAAUGUUUACUGCCACAUGAAACUGUUACGGAGCAUAUAGAUUGAGGAUUUUCUAGAAGCAAGGAAAAAAAUAACAUUUUGUGUAACUUACCCACCCUAACAAAGCUGAAAUGUGGUACUUUAUUCACUAAAAUAAGUUUACUUACCAUAUCCAAAAACUCACUCACUCUGCUGUUAUUUAAUAGAUUAGAUGCACUAGAAUUUUAUUGAAUAGUUCGUGGAGACACGUUUU